CCCCUCUCUUUCUCGCCAUCCUUUUCCCCGUUGAGGCUUCACCGACUCGUACAUGCAUGUGUCAAAUGCGUGACAUCGACGAGAAGUGACGAGGAAGUCACGCAAGCAACACGAUUUAUUUAAUCGCGGCAAAUGUAUCUGCAAACAUGGAUAUUUGCGAUAGCGCAUAUAACUUAUGUUCAAUAUGUCGUCGCCAAACGCGGACUGUGCAAUGGCUACAAGUUUGGCGAGGACGAUCUUCAGACGUUCGACUUCAUCAGCAAACUGAAAUUGGAUCUGUUGGAUACGCGUUACAGUGGCAUGACGAAGGUCCGGGGCAGCAACCGCAUGCAAACUGCAUACCGGCUGGAGAAAGACACUGAUGUCACCCUCCCAAUAAAGAAUAUCACAUCCAGCGGACUUCCAGAAGAGUUCUCGUUGGUGUACACGCUAAGAGCUAGGAAAUCACCGAAGUAUCCUUGGCACGUUAUUAAAAUCGCGGACGCAAACGGCGAUGCUCAAUUCCUCAUCACGAUGAAUUCUAGGAAGCGAUCGUUAGAUUUUUCAUCGAUCGACCACGAGGGAGAAUUACAGACAGUCUCCUUUAUGAAUAAUCGCGUGUUCGACAGAGGAUGGCAUAAGGUGAACUUCGGGGUGUUUAAAGAUAAGCUGGUUCUUAACGUUGACUGUGAAUUCACUGGUAUGGAAGAUUUAAAACCGCGCCAGCCGAUCAAAGUCGACGGGAGUAUAUCGAUAGCUAAAAUGAGCAAUAGUAAGAUCACUGUACCGAUUGAUGUGCAAUGGAUGGUUCUAAAUUGCGAUCCAACGAGACACGAAAGAGAAACGUGCGAUGAAUUACCGAAAAUCGUAGCUGCUCCGCUUCAAAUAAAAUCCUGCGAUAUGGUCUGCCCACAAGGACCACGUGGAUUCAAUGGUACAAACGGAUUUCCUGGUCCACCUGGACCAUCUGGAGCACCGGGACCAAUUGGAACUACGGGUUUACCAGGACAACCGGGACCGCCGGGGGAACAAGGAAAGCCAGGAGUUCCAGGUGCAAGAGGUUUCCCAGGAUCACAAGGUCCGAAAGGAACUAUCGGAUUUCCGGGACCAUCAGGUUUACCAGGAUCACCAGGACAAAAGGGUGAAAGAGGUGAUAUGGGAUUCCCAGGUCUCAAAGGAGAUCAAGGUCCUCGAGGAUUUCCAGGCCCGUCAGGAAAUACGAGUGACUUUUUUCUUGGAUCGCUGAGAUAUAAGGGCGAGAAAGGAGCCAAAGGUGAACGGGGGGACAACGGGGUUCAAGGACAACCGGGUGAAAAAGGCGAACCUGGAGACAGAGGAUAUCCGGGAUUAGAUGGCUCCCGCGGUCGUGAUGGUGCACCAGGCCUUCCUGGUCUUCCGGGAUCUCCUGGUCGUCCUGGUGACACUGUAUUUACGAAUAUUUCUAGCAUUCCAAGGCCACAGGGUCUUCCUGGUAUAAGAGGGCCUCCAGGAUUACCUGGUCCACCAGGAUUGCCAGGACCUCCUGGUCAAAUGGGUCCGAAGGGCGAUGUCGGAGAACGCGGUCGAGAAGGCACGCCAGGCUUGACGAAUAAUAACAUCAUACCGGGAUUACCUGGCCCAGAAGGACCUGUCGGUCCUCCUGGCGAUGAUGGUUUACCAGGUGAAAAAGGAGAAAUCGGACCGACAGGUCUUCCUGGGCCACCUGGAGAUCCUGGAAAGGAUGGAUUACCAGGAUUACCAGGACCGCAGGGACUUCCAGGAUUACGCGGAGAACCGGGCUCUCCAGGCCCUCGAGGUUUAGAUGGACUUGCGGGAAAACCAGGACUUCCAGGACACGAUGGGAAAGUAGGCCAAAAGGGCAACAAAGGCGAAAAGGGCGAACAAGGGUCUAUCGGAUCUCGCGGACUACCUGGAAGUUCGGGUUUAACAGGUUCACCAGGUACACCAGGUAUACCAGGAUUAGAGGGAAGACCUGGUCUACCUGGUCCUCCAGGAUCGAUAGGGCCUCCAGGACCUCCAGGGCCUUCUGGUUUUUCAGCUGUAAACAAUAGUUUUAGUAGCACUGGUAGUCCUGGUCUCGAAGGACCUAGAGGUUCACCAGGUUCUCCAGGCAUACCAGGUGAAAAAGGAGCUCCUGGAGAACGAGGACCGGAAGGUCAAAUAGGACCGCCCGGAAUGCCUGGUAAAGACGGAGCGCCAGGAUUGCAAGGUCCUCCUGGAAAUAGAGGUCCAACAGGAUUACCCGGACUUCAAGGUCUGCCAGGUCAUAGUAUAGGCGAAGCGGAAAUUCGCGAUAUUUGCGCCAGUGUUCUGAGAGGUAAUUUUCAACUGCAAAUUAUUUUUUUAAACAUUAACGUUAAAGUUAAUCAAAAUUUAACUAAUUAUGCUUUAAUUAUCGACUUUCUCUGUUUUCGCAGUAGAGAUAGAAAUCAAACUAGUUUGAUUAAACUCCAGUUAACUUUGAUCAAGGUUUAGGCGACAGCUGCAUUUUCUUAUGAAAUGAUCGCAAGUGAAUUGAAAACGCGCGAUGUCGUCAAUUCUGGAAUAUACCCGAAUUGUGUGAUAACAGAUGACCGAAAUGGCAGCACUAAUGCAAGGUCCACCUGGUCUGCCCGGUCGGGGUCGUCCGGGCCGCCCUGGAUUACCUG
Molecule: unclassified non-coding RNA, 2627 nt
Filed under: Monomorium pharaonis (pharaoh ant)
Lineage: Eukaryota; Metazoa; Arthropoda; Insecta; Hymenoptera; Formicidae
Description: collagen alpha-2(IX) chain, transcript variant X1
Source: RNAcentral